UCCCAAUCACUCAUUCAAAAUUCAAAUUUUCACAAACUUUUAUCUCUCCUUCACGUGGUCCCCACUUCCCUAAUAAGCAUUGAUUUUUCUCUCUUCCUCCACUCACUCUCUCAACCGUCCCCACUCUUUCUCCCUCUUUAGUCAUUAAAUUAUUUUUUUCUUUCUCCCCACUUUUCCUUGCACGUGAGCCACCCCCAUCAGAUCAAAUCAUUUUUCCUUUCACCUCAUGCAUGUACCAUACAUGAUGUAUGGAUACACCAUUGGUCCCACAUACUCACACAAAGGAUGCACAUGCCACUCAUUAAAAAUCUGAACCAUAUCCUCUCUCUCACUCACUCGACCUUUUCUCUCUGUCUCCCACAAAAGAAAAAUAUAUUUUUCUUCUUCCUCAUUCUAUUUCUUCUGCAACUUCUCUUCUUCCUCAUUCUAUUUCUUCUGCAACUUCUCUUCUUCCUCCUCACCAUUUUCUUCUUCCCAACAUGUCUGGAACAACACCACCACCACGAGCCAAAACAGCGAGCACCACCACCUCUAUGCCUCCUUCACGCAGCAACCACCACUGUCCAUGUUCUGUUUUUCCUCUCCAUGAGAGCCACCACCAAAACCCUAGCCGCCACCUUUUUCCUCCGAUCUCCGGCGAACCAUUAAGUUUUUGGAGAAACCAACACCACCACUGAACUCCUCUCAUCAACCGCAACAAAACCCCUUCAUCGAUUCGAUGAUCGGCCACCGCGACACCGGCGACCGCCGCCGCCGCCGUCUUCUCCGGCGAGCUUUGUUCUGAGAACGGAGGUCAAUUUCUUGAAACUCUCAACCUCCUUUUCCUGAAUCCAAGGCCCAAUCAUCAGUAAGAGGGCUUGCUGGUCAUCAGAGGAAGAUAAGGCCAUGACCAGAGGAAGAUAAGGCCAUGACAUGAAGUAUUAAUUAUGUAUACCUUUCUAUGUUAACAAAGAUAUAAGUUUUUGGUUUUAAAGUGAUUUACUAAUUCAAAAGCUUUUGAAGCGUUGUUUAUUGUGUCUUGUUGUCAUUAUGACGACUUGUCUUGAUUUCUGAAAUUGAUCCUAAUGGGUUAUAACCAUUAUGGGGAUUAGGUUUAACAUGCGUUCGCUUCGAGUCAAUUGCCUGAAGUCGUAGCUUUAGACCUUCAGUUAGUAGGUUAACUCAAAUGGUAAUUACGUCAUGUGUACUCAUGUAGGGUACGAAUAACGGGAGCGCUUGACGACGAAGCUAAAAGAAUAAAAGGAAGCACAACCGACACGGGAAAGCAAAGAUGUGUUGGGAUUGAAAUUGCAGCUAGUAUGAGAAUUGGCUAAAGUGAGGGCUACUCACUGAAUCUCUAGUUAAUGCUUAGGGUCGAUGCUUUCGACAUUGAUUUACUGUUUAUGCACUUGGUUGUGUUUGAUUGGAAAAAUGUUUUCUGAGGCUUCGGCUGACAAUGUAGAUGAUUCAUCUACUGAAUGUUUUUGAGAGUGAAUUACAUGCUAAGUGCUAAGUGGGUAAUUUAGGAUGUGUGAUGCAUGCCUUAUAUGCUAAGUGCUACGUGGUUAUUGCAUAAAAGGUUGAUAUAUGACAUGUUGGUUGAUUGGGCUGAGUUAA
Molecule: long non-coding RNA, 1596 nt
Organism: Lotus japonicus
Lineage: Eukaryota; Viridiplantae; Streptophyta; Magnoliopsida; Fabales; Fabaceae
Exons: 2
Source: RefSeq, a predicted model, not a curated record